This 87-nucleotide transfer RNA is filed under the name Deltaproteobacteria bacterium. Its description in RNAcentral is "tRNA-Leu". It matches the Rfam family "tRNA". Rfam says of the family: Transfer RNA (tRNA) molecules are approximately 80 nucleotides in length. Their secondary structure includes four short double-helical elements and three loops (D, anti-codon, and T loops). Lineage: Bacteria; Pseudomonadati; Myxococcota; Myxococcia. The record is from RNAcentral. RNAcentral also lists the same sequence under 2 other names.
GCCGGAGUGGUGAAACUGGUAGACGCAGAGGACUCAAAAUCCUCCGAACGCAAGUUCGUGUCGGUUCAAUUCCGACCUCCGGCACCA